This 465-nucleotide ribosomal RNA is filed under the name Vreelandella stevensii. RNAcentral describes it as "partial 16S ribosomal RNA". It matches the Rfam family "Bacterial small subunit ribosomal RNA", at positions 338 to 795 of the family's 1533-position model. The record is from RNAcentral. Lineage: Bacteria; Pseudomonadati; Pseudomonadota; Gammaproteobacteria; Oceanospirillales; Halomonadaceae.
CCUACGGGUGGCAGCAGUGGGGAAUAUUGGACAAUGGGCGAAAGCCUGAUCCAGCCAUGCCGCGUGUGUGAAGAAGGCCUUCGGGUUGUAAAGCACUUUCAGUGGGGAAGAAAGCCUUGGGGCUAAUACCCUCGAGGAAGGACAUCACCCACAGAAGAAGCACCGGCUAACUCCGUGCCAGCAGCCGCGGUAAUACGGAGGGUGCGAGCGUUAAUCGGAAUUACUGGGCGUAAAGCGCGCGUAGGCGGUCUGAUAAGCCGGUUGUGAAAGCCCCGGGCUCAACCUGGGAACGGCAUCCGGAACUGUCAGGCUAGAGUGCAGGAGAGGAAGGUAGAAUUCUCGGUGUAGCGGUGAAAUGCGUAGAGAUCGGGAGGAAUACCAGUGGCGAAGGCGGCCUUCUGGACUGACACUGACGCUGAGGUGCGAAAGCGUGGGUAGCAAACAGGAUUAGAUACCCCGGUAGUC